Long non-coding RNA from Felis catus (domestic cat), 1769 nucleotides. RefSeq lists it as uncharacterized. The record is from RefSeq and is a predicted model, not a curated record. NCBI's taxonomy places the organism in Eukaryota, Metazoa, Chordata, Mammalia, Carnivora, Felidae. The transcript is spliced from 2 exons.
GCCUCUCUCUCAAAAAUAAACAUUAAAAAAAUGGUUACAUUUGAUCUCAGCCGAAAGGCUGAGAAGAGAUCAAAAAAAUGGUUAUAAAUAUCAUAUGUUAUUAACAAUUUUAAUUUAUUAUCCAGGAAACUUUACUGAGUGUCUAGUGUGUGCAAGGAACUGGGGAUUUAAAGAAAUUGAGAUAAGAGUCCUCGAGGAGCUCCUAGCUCAUGAUAGCAGAAAAUCUACAAUGGUAAAGGAAUAAUUGCAAUGCUAUGGUAGACCCGUCAUGCUAGAUAUGUAAACCACAGAAGCGGGGAUGGUCAAUUCUCCCUGGAGGUCAGAAGAGGUUUCUCAAAAGAGAUGACCCUACAAUAAGCCUGGAAGAAUGAGUAGGAUUCUGACAUGCAGAUAAAGAUGAGGCAGACAGCCAAGUAGAAGGAUCAUGGACUAUGGUGCUGAUGAGGACCUACAAAUUUUUCAUGGUCAUUUCAGAUGGUAUAAAGAGGGAAGGAGAUAGGGCAAACCAGAGACAGCCUCUAAGUCAGUGGUUUCCAAAGCGUCCCUGGACCAGCAGCAUUAACAUCAUCUAGGAACCUCAUAGAUAUGCAAUACUUGAUCCCUUCCAACACCUACUCAAUCAGAAACUCUGGGGUAGGGCCCAGUGAUCUAGAGGUUAACAAUCCCCCUGGGAUUGGGAUGAGUCUGAUUGGGAACCAGUGGUCUCAGGUCAUAAGUAGUCAGGAGAGUCGCAGAAGGCUCUACACGUUUGUUUGUUUGUUUUCUCCCUACACUGUUGCCUAAGUAGAGCAAACGAUCUUAGAUUGUCAGGACAAUGGAAUUUUCUUAAAAGCGAUUUCGUAAGUCUUUGACCAAAUUGUUAGUCUUCAGGGUUUGUUUUUGAAAGUAGCAAUUCAAUGACCGUUUAUAAGGCACAGCAGGACAAAUGGUUUCCAAACCCCUGUUUGUGACCUGCAUGGGGCCCCCAAAUGCCCUCUCGUUGUAGGACAUUAUGGGAAGAAAAUGAAUUUGCAUGAUGCAUAAAUGGUAGAAGGGUUUUAUGGCUCUUUAUAUGACAAGUUUGUGGAAAAUGGCAAAUAACACUUUUAGUUUAUAUUCAGCUGUAACAACAACUUAUUAUUUCCAAAGAUUAAAUUACAGGCUAGCAAAAUGAAAUGGGCUACACGGUCACUUCUUCAUGGCAUCCUCUUCCAGUGGCAACUUUUCAAUAAGCAAGCUCAGCUAAUUGAAAACAGAAACAGUUAUCUUCCAAAGAGAUCUUUGAAGUAGCUUCUGAUGGUUUGCAAUAAUGGCCCUACAGAGCGAUCAGUCUAAGAGUGUCUUCGUUUGGGCUGCUGACCUCUAAAGAUGAUCCGAUGCGUAAGGAACCUAGAGCCAUAAACCUUGCCUCGCUAGACUUGCCAGAAAAAGCUCACCGUUUGACAUUGGCCCUCGUCCGCCUGUCUGUGGCUCUUUCCAGACCCUCUCCAUCCACCUGCUCACAUUCUCACUGCCUCUUGGCUUAUCUAAAUCCGUCCACAUUAAGACGCACCUCAAGUACCCGUCCCCUGCAGAACCACUCUUUGCCGGUAGUCUGAUCCCAUGGUUCCGCUUUAACAAUUUCUAUUGCAUUCAUUGCUGAUGUGUUUCCCAAAUUUCACCCAACUUUAUGUUACCACCUUUAUGAAUUUCGUUAUGAUCUGCCACCUUGUUUUAUGAUUUACAUGAAUGCUUAAAUAUGUUCUUUAAUUUGAUUCCCCUUUUGCUAAAAUAAAUGUAUUUGAAGUUAA